This 497-nucleotide ribosomal RNA is filed under the name uncultured bacterium. Its description in RNAcentral is "partial 16S ribosomal RNA". It matches the Rfam family "Bacterial small subunit ribosomal RNA", at positions 28 to 507 of the family's 1533-position model. The record is from RNAcentral.
GAUGAACGCUGGCGGCGUGCCUAAUACAUGCAAGUCGAGCGAACAGACGAGGAGCUUGCUCCUCUGACGUUAGCGGCGGACGGGUGAGUAACACGUGGAUAACCUACCUAUAAGACUGGGAUAACUUCGGGAAACCGGAGAUAAUACCGGAUAAUAUAUUGAACCGCAUGGUUCAAUAGUGAAAGACGGUUUUGCUGUCACUUAUAGAUGGAUCCGCGCCGCAUUAGCUAGUUGGUAAGGUAACGGCUUACCAAGGCGACGAUGCGUAGCCGACCUGAGAGGGUGAUCGGCCACACUGGAACUGAGACACGGUCCAGACUCCUACGGGAGGCAGCAGUAGGGAAUCUUCCGCAAUGGGCGAAAGCCUGACGGAGCAACGCCGCGUGAGUGAUGAAGGUCUUCGGAUCGUAAAACUCUGUUAUUAGGGAAGAACAAAUGUGUAAGUAACUAUGCACGUCUUGACGGUACCUAAUCAGAAAGCCACGGCUAACUACGUG